Long non-coding RNA from Gasterosteus aculeatus aculeatus (three-spined stickleback), 1020 nucleotides. Lineage: Eukaryota; Metazoa; Chordata; Actinopteri; Perciformes; Gasterosteidae. The record is from Ensembl.
CUCUAGCGCACAGUGAAAAGCGUCUGUGCCGUUACCUCAGCUGAACCUUCAAAUGAACUCGUUGCACUGCCUCGGUGCCGGAGCCAGGAGACGAAUCACUCGCGUUAGAUUCAAAACAGAGAGGCACUGUUGAGCCGGCUGAACCCGGUGCUCUGCACCAGCUCUCAGCACAACAUUCACGUCUCCUCUCCCUCCUGUCAUGCAGGCUGCCUUUUAUUGAAACAACUCUCUUGACGGGGACGUGUCUCUAGGGGCCACAAGUUGGUAAUUAUACAAAGCUGAAAAUUAUUGCUUAACCAGCGGAUACUUUUGCCGCAAAGCUUCAGUUUCUUUUUUAGAUUAUUUUUUUUCUAAAAGCAGAGCCAAAGGGUAAAACCUUUUGCUGGUCAUAAAAGCAAAAUCAUUGGAUAACACUGGAAUGGCUCACUGGCUUGGAGAGUAUUUUUCUUGACAGUUUCGGGAUGUCCUGUUCAAUAAGGGAGCCCCCUUUUUGCAUGCCUGUGUGUGUGUGUGUGUGCGUGUUUGUCUAGAUUUCUUUUAUAAAUGUUUUCCCUGGUUGUUAAGAUAUGUAUGUAGUGGUUUCUCAUGUGCGUUCACUAUCAAUAAAGUCGAUUGAGAAGUGGAUUGGUGUUCUGUUUAUUUGUGAUACGUCUUGAUCACACUGGACCGGUGUUGACCUUCGGACCUCCAAAGAAUCUCACAUGUCAGCCAAGAAAGAUGGUCAAGAAGGAUACCAUCUCAACUCCAAUUUCACCGGCUAAUGUUUCACAUCCAAACCAAAUGGUCAUCACAUUACUCAUUGGCUCUCUCCAUGCUGACAUCAUCUCCAUUUCAGAUUCCAUGUAAACCAUUAGUGAGCUGUGAAUAUAGCUCACCUUAUGCUCUUCCCAUUCAAAUCAUAUUUAGAUGCAACCCUGUUACCAUAAACUGCAAAUUGUAUUUGCAUUAGUAAAUAAUAGUAAUGUGACGGAUUGUUAGAAAAUGAUUGUUCCGAUUUUUAAAAUAAGCUCAUUAUAUGAA